RNAcentral lists this ribosomal RNA (511 nucleotides) under uncultured Allobaculum sp. RNAcentral describes it as "partial 16S ribosomal RNA". The record is from RNAcentral. Lineage: Bacteria; Bacillati; Bacillota; Erysipelotrichia; Erysipelotrichales; Erysipelotrichaceae.
CACGUAGUUAGCCGUGACUUUCUGGCGGGGCACCAUCAGUCAGCACCCAUUUCCUGAUGCUGCCUUUUUUCCCCCGCAACAGAGCUUUACGACCCGAAGGCCUUCUUCACUCACGCGGCAUCGCUCGUUCAGGCUUGCGCCCAUUGACGAAAAUUCCCUACUGCUGCCUCCCGCAGGAGCCUGGGCCGUGUCUCAGUCCCAAUGUGGCCGUCCGCCCUCUCAGGCCGGCUAUGCAUCAUCGUCUUGGUGGGCCUUUACCCCGCCAACCAACUAAUGCACCGCAGGUCCAUCCGCGCCCCAUCCCCCUAAAGGAUGUUUCACACGAAAGAAGAUGACCUCCUUCCUGUACAUCGGGAUUUGUUCUCCGUUUCCAGAGCGUAUUCCCGGUGCGCGGGCAGGUUCCCUACGUGUUACCUCACCCGUUCGCCACUAGAGACCCGAAGGUCCUCUCGUUCGACUUGCAUGUAUUAGGCAUGCCGCAGCCGUUCAUCCUGACGCCAGGACUCUAAAA